UUAUCUUUUUGUUUAAGAUACCCAUAUGGAUGUUGUCCUGGAUAUGAAUGGAAUUACAAGACGGAAAAUUGUACAGAAUGUAAGAUUGGAUUCUCUGGCAUCAGCUGUUCAAAAGCAUGUGUCUAUCCAAGCUAUGGGAUGAACUGUAAGGAGAACUGUACUUGUUCUAAGGAAAAUUGUAACUUUACUCUCGGAUGCACAUACAUCUCUACUGUUAGUCUGUUAAUGAAAGAAACUACCUUUACUACAUAAAGCUUUUGAAAUACUUAACGAGAUCAUCCAUUAGCGAAAAACAAGAAGAAGAGGACAUUCAUUAUUUUACGAUACAAGACAAAGAUCUAUGCAUGAA
Long non-coding RNA from Saccostrea cuccullata (small rock oyster), 349 nucleotides. RefSeq lists it as uncharacterized. The record is from RefSeq and is a predicted model, not a curated record. The transcript is spliced from 3 exons. Lineage: Eukaryota; Metazoa; Mollusca; Bivalvia; Ostreida; Ostreidae.